AUACGGAGGAUCCGAGCGUUAUCCGGAUUUAUUGGGUUUAAAGGGUGCGCAGGCGGCCAUUUAAGUCAGCGGUUAAAUCUUGGGGCUCAACCCCAUUCUGCCGUUGAUACUGGGUGGCUUGAUUGCGGUCGAGGUUGGCGGAAUUCGUUGUGUAGCGGUGAAAUGCAUAGAUAUGACGAAGAACACCGAUUGCGUAGGCAGCUGACCAGACCGCAAAUGACGCUCAUGCACGAAAGUGCGGGGAUCGAACAGGAUUAGAUACCCUGGUAGUCCGCACAGUAAACGAUGAAUACUUGUUUUCGGCGAUAUAAUGUCGGAGGCAAAGCGAAAGCGAUAAGUAUUCCACCUGGGGAGUACGCCGGCAACGGUGAAACUCAAAUGAAUUGACGGGG
This 392-nucleotide ribosomal RNA is filed under the name uncultured bacterium. Its description in RNAcentral is "partial 16S ribosomal RNA". It matches the Rfam family "Bacterial small subunit ribosomal RNA", at positions 523 to 918 of the family's 1533-position model. The record is from RNAcentral.